AUCAGAUCGCCGUCCAUUAGCACAGCCAUCAGCUCCGAUCUUCAUCCAUUAGCACCGCCGUCCGACGCCGCCCAUCAGUCUCCAUCGUCCCCGCCGUCCACAGCUCUCCAUCUUCCCGUCCAUCGCCAUCCCGUCGUCCAUCGCUGCUCGCCGAUCUACGUCCCCGCCGCUGCCGAUCGACAUCCCCUCCGCUGCCGCCCAAGGUCGCCGCCGCUGCCGCCCGAGGUCGCCGCCGCGACGCCUCAGGUCUACAAGCUCACCACCGCAGUACGCACACCGACGCCGCCGCAGUACGCACGCCAAAAAGAACUUAGAAUGCUAUGCUAGGAUCUUUCAUAUAUGGAGUACCACAAAACUACUUCUAUGGAGGUGGAAAGUUAGAACUGUGAAAAAGCAAAACAGCGAGAAACAUUCUCAACGGUGUGAUAUCGAGCUGAAACUAGCUAUCAGGUUGCACGAAAAAUGAGGGAUGAGGAGGGAUUUUACUAUCCACACAAUCUUGAUUUUUGUGGCCAUGCGUACCCCAUGCAUGCAUCCAUAUUUGAAUCAUCUUGGCUCUGAUUUGUGCCGUGGAAUCCUGGAAUUUGCAGAAGCUCGCCCCCUUGGCAAGUCAGGGUUGCAAUGGUUAAAGAUACAUCUAGCAAAUGUGUAUGGUGGUGGUGUUGACAAGUUAUCAUAUGAAGGUCGAGUAGCAUUUACUGAAAACCAUGUGGAGGACAUUUUUGAUUCUGCAGAUCGACCUCUUGAAGGAAAACAGUGGUGGUUGGGUGCAGAUCGACCUCUAAUGGAGCGCAAUUAAGAAAACAUAUUGAUUCAACUUUAGGCAGUGGAAACCAACUGCAUAUGUGUGUGUGUGUCUGUAUGAAACUUUGUUUGCAAUUUUGCUGGAAGAUGGAGAAUCAGGAGGACAGUGGAAAUAUAUUCUUAUAAGUCAUGAUUAACUAUAAGGAGGUGGUGGACUUCUGCAAGUCAUAUUUGGUGGUUAACAGGGAAGCUUUUUCUGAUCCAAGACUUCAUCUUGUCAUUAAUGAUGCCAGGGCUGAGCUUGAAAGCAGAGAAGAGGGUUAUGAUGUGAUCAUAGGAGACUUAGCAGACCCCAUUGAAGGAGGGCCUUGCUACCAGCUUUACACCCAAUCCUUUUAUCAAACCACUGUCAGACCAAAGCUCAAUCAGCGUGGCAUCUUUGUCACUCAGGCCGGACCAGCUGGGAUCUUUAGCCACACUGAGGUUUUCUCUUGCAUCUACAACACUCUCAAACAAGUUUUCAAAUAUGUUGUGCCUUAUUCUGCUCACAUACCUUCCUAUGCUGACACAUGGGGAUGGGUCAUGGCGUCAGACACCCCAUUUGAAGUGAGUGUGGAUGAGUUAGAUCGGAGAAUGAAGCAGAGAGUGAAAGGGGAGAACAAAUAUUACAUCUUAAGUAAUUUAUUACAUCUUGAGUAAUUUAUUUUAAUUGUUAACAUUUAAAAUUUGUAGUUUAUUUGUAAUAAAAUGUUAUUAGAAUUGAAAAUUUAGAUUGGUGUAUUUUAGUUGAUAGAAUUGGUGUGUAGUAUACAUCUUAAAUUGAUAAAUGUUGAAAUAUAUUAUUUGGUAGUUA
RNA transcript from Ipomoea nil (Japanese morning glory), 1597 nucleotides. It is a transcript of the gene named thermospermine synthase ACAULIS5-like, with no coding region annotated. The transcript is spliced from 9 exons. NCBI's taxonomy places the organism in Eukaryota, Viridiplantae, Streptophyta, Magnoliopsida, Solanales, Convolvulaceae. The record is from RefSeq and is a predicted model, not a curated record.